UUUUUUUUUUUUUUUUAAUUGGCAACUAUAUGCAGAUGCCUUGGGCAAUCAAGGACUGUGUGAACAAGCAUCAAGUUUUAUAUCUUGAGAUAGGGUCACAAGAGGUAGAUGAGACAUUCAUGUGAAAAAUUGACAACCUACCUAUUCCUCCAAUUGUAACAUGCAACUUCCAUCGCCUGGAAUUGUUAUGUCUUUGGCGAAUGUGUAAUUUCAGCCUGUUUCUGCCUGAGAAGCAAUGUGAAUGAAUGCAUAGAGGAUAACUCAAAUUUAGCUCUUUAUCUGAUUUUGGUUUGAGUUGAAAUAUCCUUCAAUGCCAUACUUCUG
Molecule: unclassified non-coding RNA, 324 nt
Filed under: Hevea brasiliensis (rubber tree)
Lineage: Eukaryota; Viridiplantae; Streptophyta; Magnoliopsida; Malpighiales; Euphorbiaceae
Source: RNAcentral